CGGAAUUACUGGGCGUAAAGCGUGCGCAGGCGGUCUUGCAAGACAGGUGUGAAAUCCCCGGGCUUAACCUGGGAACUGCACUUGUGACUGCAAGGCUGGAGUACGGCAGAGGGGGAUGGAAUUCCGCGUGUAGCAGUGAAAUGCGUAGAUAUGCGGAGGAACACCGAUGGCGAAGGCAAUCCCCUGGGCCUGUACUGACGCUCAUGCACGAAAGCGUGGGGAGCAAACAGGAUUAGAUACCCUGGUAGUCCACGCCCUAAACGAUGUCAACUGGUUGUUGGAGACUUCCUUAGUACCGCAGCUAACGCGUGAAGUUGACCGCCUGGGGAGUACGGUCGCAAGAUUAAAACUCAAAGGAAUUGACGGGGACCCGCACAAGCGGUGGAUUAUGUGGAUUAAUUCGAUGCAAC
Molecule: ribosomal RNA, 410 nt
Filed under: uncultured bacterium
Lineage: Bacteria
Description: bacterial SSU rRNA
Rfam family: Bacterial small subunit ribosomal RNA
Source: RNAcentral